Molecule: transfer RNA, 75 nt
Filed under: uncultured Rhodoluna sp.
Lineage: Bacteria; Bacillati; Actinomycetota; Actinomycetes; Micrococcales; Microbacteriaceae
Description: tRNA-Pro
Rfam family: tRNA
About the family: Transfer RNA (tRNA) molecules are approximately 80 nucleotides in length. Their secondary structure includes four short double-helical elements and three loops (D, anti-codon, and T loops).
Source: RNAcentral
CGGGCUAUAGCGCAGCUUGGUAGCGCACUUGUCUGGGGGACAAGGGGUCGCCGGUUCAAAUCCGGCUAGCCCGAC